This is a long non-coding RNA of Fukomys damarensis (Damara mole-rat), 1660 nucleotides long. The record is from Ensembl. NCBI's taxonomy places the organism in Eukaryota, Metazoa, Chordata, Mammalia, Rodentia, Bathyergidae.
GGAAGAAUGAGCCUCCAGCAGUUUUCAGCCUCUCUUUGGAGCCACUCUCAAAUUUCUGAGGCCGCCUUUGGUUACCACAGACUUUCAGUCAAGGAUGGCCUAUCUGCAGCACACCAAAAAAAAAAAAAAGAAAAGAAAAGAAAUUAGCAAGCUACCUAGAAAGGUACCUGCAAGAAGAGAUGUAUCCAUAUUCUGCCACGUCAUUCUCCAAAGUGGUUCUACGGAUUUGGGGGCCUGCGGCGAGCAGGGUAGUGCAUCAUGGUAGAGAACACAAUGGAGAAAGCUGCCCCCCUCGUGGCACCUGUGAAGCAAAGGAAGAGACUGGGGUCCCACAGCUCCCUCUGGCGCACUCCUGGAGACCAGAGUCACCUGUAAAGGUCCCAUUACCUCCCAGCGGCAACACAGGCCGGAGACCAAGUAUGGGACACGUGGGUCCUGAGGGACAUCCCACAUCCCAUCCAGCAAGGACGGGCCUCGGAUCUCUCAAGGUGGAAUGGGUCACACAGUCAGUGUUUCCGGUGCUGUGCUGUCUCCUGGGCUGAGAGAGGCUGAGACAAAAUUUUGGAAGUCUCCAGACCUCUCUAACAAGGAUGUCCCACAGCCACAUCCUAUCCUGCUUCCCUGGAGUUUUUGAAGCUAUAGCGUGUCAGAAAGUGCUUAUUUGUGAUUUAUCUGGCUCUUUUGUACCUCUUGUUUAAUAAAAUAAAUGUAUAUCAUAUACUCCAACCAAGAGAAAAUAGCGAUUUUCCCCACUUCCUCUGUUUAGACUAUCAAGCCAUAAACCCCCCAUCCCCACCCCACCACACACACACACACACACACACACACACACACACUCACCCUGAGCAUCAGCGAAGGUGCUCUCCCCACAGCUUCACCUCGGCUUGCAGAGUUGACCCUCCUCCUGUGGGGCACCAGGACGGGCACCAUGCUGUGCUGCAUGGUUGCGCUGCUAUUUGGUAAGUCACUGGUCAGGGGCAUCACCUCCUGAGACACUGAGGUCUGUAACUGGUUCCUGAGACACAAUUCCUGACCUUUCCUUUCCGGAUUCAACUGAGUUUGUGGGUAGUGCUUGAGAAAAGUGCACACCCCUGUUUAUGCUUGGGGUCGAUGGGCACAGAGGCUUGGAGGAUCCUUUCUGUUUACUAUCCUGCCUUCCUGCAUUCUGAUCAGAGCAGCUUCUCCGUGUGUCAGAGAUAGACUAGGAAAACAGAAAAAUCACAGCCUGGGGCCUCCUUGUUACCCAGUGGGGUUUUCACCCAGUGAAAUCGGGUUAAAAUAAUCAUCGGGGCUGUCUCAAAAGGAAAACCAAAAUUACAAUGGGAAAGAGAGGCUGCUGAGGGGAUCAAAGAACAGAUCAGAGACAUGGGGACAGAAGUUCCAUGAACUGUUUUCAGCAACAGAAGGUGAGAAUGUGCUUUUGUGAAGACGCUGUUUUCUUAGAACCUUUUACCAAUAGCCAGACUUCUCACUCGGGGAUACAAAGCUUUUUUCAAAUUGACCCUUCCUCUUCUGCCCAUACUCUUUCUCUGUUGGAAGUGAGGGGAUGAGGGUCCUGCCUGGUUCUUGGGGCUGAUUCACAGGGUCCAGUCUGUUUUCUCUGAUCCCUGUUGCUCUCUCCCUCCAUUCUCCCGGUGCCCCCCAGUCACGAGGACUACUG